Non-coding RNA from Odocoileus virginianus texanus, 798 nucleotides. The record is from RefSeq and is a predicted model, not a curated record. Lineage: Eukaryota; Metazoa; Chordata; Mammalia; Artiodactyla; Cervidae.
CUUUAAUGACUGAGCAACAAGGGAAGAUCUACAAGCAUGUGCUGGCUCUUCCUAAAAGGUGCUCCACCCAGCUGGGGCUGCUGGAAGCGCACAGGAGUGGAUGGAGACAAGCAGAUUCGUUACCAGCUGAACCACCAAGGAAGCCCAUGGGCAACUCCCAAAUGUUGGAAACAGCAGAGGACCAAAGAUGAGGAAACAGAAGCAGGGCCUGACCACAGAGAAUGCCCAGGAUCAGUUUAUUGACUUCCAAGGACUAUUAACCUUCUGGAGAAGGAAAAAAAAAACAAAAACCUUUCUUGUAUCUAGGACCUGUUGGGUACUAAUUUAAUGUGGCAAUGAGAUAAAAGUCCACUCAGGCUGCUGUCAACCUCACUGGAUCGGAAUGCCGUCUACUUAGCAUAGAAGUCAAACAAUUCCCUGGCAAUAGAUUGCCUUCCACUUGUAGGUCUACUAAAUAAAUAGAAAAGUAAUUAACAGUGGGCGAUGGCAGAUAUAUCAGAGGGGAUUUCAUUACAGCAGAAGAACAGAGGGAACCAGGAAGUCACUUUGUGUCCCAGCGUCGGAUGGGGCUCUCAUGUUCCGUCUCUUCGAGAAAAGAAAUUUCAGAAUUUCCUAUCUUCAAUUUAAUCAACAGGGAAGAGAAAAAUCUGAAGUGCCUGAAAUUAGUCCCCAAAUAAAUAAGUCUCCUUAUUGUUCCAUUUAAUUAUUUAGGUCGUGGAACUUGUGGAUGAUUGUACCUUUUUUGUUGUAUUUUUGCUUUUCUUCCUUCUUUUCUUUUUUUUGGGGGAGGGGCUUGCC